GACGUAGGGCGCGAGCGUUGUCCGGAUUUAUUGGGCGUAAAGAGCUCGUAGGCGGCUUGUCGCGUCGACUGUGAAAACCCGCAGCUCAACUGCGGGCCUGCAGUCGAUACGGGCAGGCUAGAGUUCGGUAGGGGAGACUGGAAUUCCUGGUGUAGCGGUGAAAUGCGCAGAUAUCAGGAGGAACACCGGUGGCGAAGGCGGCCCCCUGGCCCGCAACUGACGCUCAUGGUCGAAAGCGUGGGGAGCAAACAGG
This 253-nucleotide ribosomal RNA is filed under the name uncultured bacterium. RNAcentral describes it as "partial 16S ribosomal RNA". It matches the Rfam family "Bacterial small subunit ribosomal RNA", at positions 524 to 776 of the family's 1533-position model. The record is from RNAcentral.